Non-coding RNA from Podarcis lilfordi (Lilford's wall lizard), 75 nucleotides. The record is from the annotation of a GenBank genome assembly. Lineage: Eukaryota; Metazoa; Chordata; Lepidosauria; Squamata; Lacertidae.
CACUGGAUAACUCAAGUCAGUAGAGUAUGAGACUCUUAAUCUCAGAGUUGUGGGUUUGAGCCCCACAGAGGGUGA